GUUCGAUUAGCUCAGCUGGGAGAGCGUUGUAGGUAGGUGUGUAUACUAAACAUGUACUACUGCCUACGAAGGCCAGGAGUUCAAAUCUCCUAUCGGACA
Neurospora tetraspora is the source of this 99-nucleotide non-coding RNA. The record is from the annotation of a RefSeq genome assembly. Lineage: Eukaryota; Fungi; Ascomycota; Sordariomycetes; Sordariales; Sordariaceae.